RNAcentral lists this ribosomal RNA (403 nucleotides) under uncultured bacterium. Its description in RNAcentral is "partial 16S ribosomal RNA". It matches the Rfam family "Bacterial small subunit ribosomal RNA", at positions 30 to 526 of the family's 1533-position model. The record is from RNAcentral.
AUUGAACGCUGGCGGCAGGCCUAACACAUGCAAGUCGAGCGAGCGGCGGACGGGUGAGUACUGUAUGGGGACUGCCCGAUAGAGGGGGCGAACUGCUGGAAACGGUAGCUAAUACUGCAUACUAUCGGAUAACGCUGAUGUGAUUAGCUGGUGGGUGAGGUAAUGGCCCACCUAGGCGACGAUCCCUAGCUGGUCUGAGAGGAUGAUCAGCCACACUGUGACGGAGACACGGCCCAGACUCCUACGGAGGCAGCAGUGGGGAAUAUUGCACAAUGGGCGCAAGCCUGAUGCAGCCAUGCCGCGUGUAUGAAGAAGGCCCUAGGGUUGUAAAGUACUUUCAGUCGGGAGGCGUUACCGACAGAAGAAGCACCGGCUAACUCCGUGCCAGCAGCCGCGGUAAUUC